Long non-coding RNA from Haplochromis burtoni (Burton's mouthbrooder), 978 nucleotides. RefSeq lists it as uncharacterized. Lineage: Eukaryota; Metazoa; Chordata; Actinopteri; Cichliformes; Cichlidae. The record is from RefSeq and is a predicted model, not a curated record. The transcript is spliced from 4 exons.
UUCCUAACUUGCAGUUGGCGGAUGAUGUGAACACUCCCAAAAAGGUACUCAUAAACGCUGCGUGUCCCAGAUACUGGCUGUGCAGCUUUGCUGGAUCGUUCUAACAAGCCAAGCAGUAGAAAUACACAGGUUCCCUGUUUUAUCUGCUCAGCUCUUCACUAACAUCAUGCUCUCUGGACUCAGCAGGAUGUUCUUUCUGGGAGUAACAUGUUUACUCAUGAGUUCAGGCUAUACCAGAGCUGAGACCACCGUGUCCCCACAAAGAAAGCCCCCCUGUGACAGCCAGAUCUGCCGCUUGAGCCACGGUAAGAAAAGCAUACUCUGUAUAUGAAAGAUGUACAGACCUCCUGGGUUAGAAAAGUGGAGCUAAUAUAGAAGUGCCUUAAGCCAGCAAAAGAAGUCCAUGUUGCUUGAGUCUAAGCAGAGAUGCUCAGACGUUGGGUCCAAAUUUGUGCUCGUAAGUUCAAACACACAUACAGCCAGGGAAGUUGAGUGCAGAGUUUUACAAACACAAAUCUUUUUUACACACACAAAUUACACAAAUUCUCAUCUAUAGAUACACAAACAUAAAAAUUUUCACAUAUUUUGGUUCACAAGGUUACAAAACCCAGUUCACAAGUACACAUUUGAUUUACAAGUACAAAAUAUUACUGACCAAAAUUUGAGCCCAUACCAGCAGAGUUCACACAACUGUAGACACUGCAUUAAUCCCUGUGUCAACUACUUCUCCCCUUUUCCCUCACUUGGAAACAAGACCCAGAGUUACUUAAACUCCUCCUACUAGGGGUCGCCUGUCCCAUUGAACCAAUCAGCCAAAAAGGCAACGCCCAUAAUAAUGGAAAAUUUAUGCUUUCAUUAAGCGUUUAAACUGGUCUGUUAAAAAAAAAAUUAACCUCACACAUAUAAUUGUUUUAAAAAAUUGUUAUUUAAAUAAACAGUAAUAGAGACCAAAACAGUUUUACUUCUGCUGCCAUGUAA